RNAcentral lists this ribosomal RNA (389 nucleotides) under Syndiniales sp. RNAcentral's name for it is "partial small subunit ribosomal RNA". It matches the Rfam family "Eukaryotic small subunit ribosomal RNA", at positions 582 to 975 of the family's 1831-position model. The record is from RNAcentral. Lineage: Eukaryota; Dinophyceae; Syndiniales.
AUUCCAGCUCCAAUAGCGUAUAUUAAAGUUGUUGCGGUUAAAAAGCUCGUAGUUGGAUUUCUGUUGAAGACCGGCGGUCCACCUUUUGGGUGAGUAUCUGCUUGGGCUUCGGCAUCUUCUCGGAAUACGUUGCUGCGCUUGAUUGCGUGGUUCGGAGUCCGGGACUUUUACUUUGAGGAAAUUAGAGUGUUCACGGCAGGCAUACGCCUUGAAUAUAUUAGCAUGGAAUAAUAAUAUAGGAUCUUGGUUCUAUUUUGUUGGUUUCUAGAGCUAAGAUAAUGAUUAAUAGGGACAAUUGGGGGCAUUCGUAUUAACGCGUCAGAGGUGAAAUUCUUGGAUUGCGUUACGACGAACUACUGCGAAAGCAUUUGCCAAGGAUGUUUUCAUCG